Molecule: ribosomal RNA, 1550 nt
Filed under: Staphylococcus aureus
Lineage: Bacteria; Bacillati; Bacillota; Bacilli; Caryophanales; Staphylococcaceae
Description: partial 23S ribosomal RNA
Rfam family: Bacterial large subunit ribosomal RNA
Source: RNAcentral
AAGCUUGCUUGUUGGGGUUGUAGGACACUCUAUACGGAGUUACAAAGGACGACAUUAGACGAAUCAUCUGGAAAGAUGAAUCAAAGAAGGUAAUAAUCCUGUAGUCGAAAAUGUUGUCUCUCUUGAGUGGAUCCUGAGUACGACGGAGCACGUGAAAUUCCGUCGGAAUCUGGGAGGACCAUCUCCUAAGGCUAAAUACUCUCUAGUGACCGAUAGUGAACCAGUACCGUGAGGGAAAGGUGAAAAGCACCCCGGAAGGGGAGUGAAAUAGAACCUGAAACCGUGUGCUUACAAGUAGUCAGAGCCCGUUAAUGGGUGAUGGCGUGCCUUUUGUAGAAUGAACCGGCGAGUUACGAUUUGAUGCAAGGUUAAGCAGUAAAUGUGGAGCCGUAGCGAAAGCGAGUCUGAAUAGGGCGUUUAGUAUUUGGUCGUAGACCCGAAACCAGGUGAUCUACCCUUGGUCAGGUUGAAGUUCAGGUAACACUGAAUGGAGGACCGAACCGACUUACGUUGAAAAGUGAGCGGAUGAACUGAGGGUAGCGGAGAAAUUCCAAUCGAACCUGGAGAUAGCUGGUUCUCUCCGAAAUAGCUUUAGGGCUAGCCUCAAGUGAUGAUUAUUGGAGGUAGAGCACUGUUUGGACGAGGGGCCCCUCUCGGGUUACCGAAUUCAGACAAACUCCGAAUGCCAAUUAAUUUAACUUGGGAGUCAGAACAUGGGUGAUAAGGUCCGUGUUCGAAAGGGAAACAGCCCAGACCACCAGCUAAGGUCCCAAAAUAUAUGUUAAGUGGAAAAGGAUGUGGCGUUGCCCAGACAACUAGGAUGUUGGCUUAGAAGCAGCCAUCAUUUAAAGAGUGCGUAAUAGCUCACUAGUCGAGUGACACUGCGCCGAAAAUGUACCGGGGCUAAACAUAUUACCGAAGCUGUGGAUUGUCCUUUGGACAAUGGUAGGAGAGCGUUCUAAGGGCGUUGAAGCAUGAUCGUAAGGACAUGUGGAGCGCUUAGAAGUGAGAAUGCCGGUGUGAGUAGCGAAAGACGGGUGAGAAUCCCGUCCACCGAUUGACUAAGGUUUCCAGAGGAAGGCUCGUCCGCUCUGGGUUAGUCGGGUCCUAAGCUGAGGCCGACAGGCGUAGGCGAUGGAUAACAGGUUGAUAUUCCUGUACCACCUAUAAUCGUUUUAAUCGAUGGGGGGACGCAGUAGGAUAGGCGAAGCGUGCGAUUGGAUUGCACGUCUAAGCAGUAAGGCUGAGUAUUAGGCAAAUCCGGUACUCGUUAAGGCUGAGCUGUGAUGGGGAGAAGACAUUGAGUCUUCGAGUCGUUGAUUUCACACUGCCGAGAAAAGCCUCUAGAUAGAAAAUAGGUGCCCGUACCGCAAACCGACACAGGUAGUCAAGAUGAGAAUUCUAAGGUGAGCGAGCGAACUCUCGUUAAGGAACUCGGCAAAAUGACCCCGUAACUUCGGGAGAAGGGGUGCUCUUUAGGGUUAACGCCCAGAAGAGCCGCAGUGAAUAGGCCCAAGCGACUGUUUAUCAAAAACACAGGUCUCUGCUAA